This is a long non-coding RNA of Passer domesticus (house sparrow), 432 nucleotides long. RefSeq lists it as uncharacterized. The transcript is spliced from 3 exons. NCBI's taxonomy places the organism in Eukaryota, Metazoa, Chordata, Aves, Passeriformes, Passeridae. The record is from RefSeq and is a predicted model, not a curated record.
GGAAGCAGCAGCAUCUGCAGUAAUGGAGAUCAGCUGGGGAGUCUAAGCAAAAGCCAAGAGUUUUGGACACCAAGAAAACAGUCCUUCCCACUCUCUGCCUCAUGGAAGCAAAGACAUUGUGCCCAUGGAUGUAGGGCCCCAGGGUGGUUUUAAAUUAGCUGAAGACGCCUGCAUGAAGUUUGACUGCAAGAACAGUGUGUUGGAUUGCAAGUGCUACAGGGGAGCCAAACUCUCUCUGGUUGGAAGAGGAAUGAUAGCCACUGGUGAGGCUCUGCUCAGCGCCGGGGAAGGAUGAGAGCCCCUCUCAGCACCCUGAUGCAUUUAUUAGGUGAGGUGAUGGCAGAAACCGAGGAAGCUGAAAUAGAUCUACUGCAGUUUUACAGGUGAGGCAAUGUUAGCAGGAAAUGACAAGCAGACUAUAGUUAUUAUAAU